AGUAUUGAAGGGCUGCAGUAUAUUGACUGUACAAAGGUAGCAUAAUCAUUAGUCAUUUAAUUGAUGACUUGUAUGAAGGAUUGGAUGAAAUAUAAACUGUCUCUUAGUUAUAAAUAGAAUUUAAUUUUUUUAUUAAAAAGUUAAGAUAAUUUAAAAAGACGAGAAGACCCUAUAGAGUUUUAUAGUUAAAUUAAUUAAUAUUAUUUAUUAAAUUAAAGUUAAAAUUAGUUUAUUUAUUGUGUUGGGGUGAUAAAAAAAUAUGUAUAACUUUUUUUAAAUAAAAACAUUUAUAAGUGAUUAAUUGAUCCAAUAUUAUUGAUUAUAAGAAGAAAUUACCUUAGGGAUAACAGCGUAAUUUUUUUUUUUAGUUCAUAUAAGAAAAAGAGUUUGCGACCUCGAUGUUGGAUUAAGAUAAAAUUUAAAUGCAGAAG
This 431-nucleotide ribosomal RNA is filed under the name Manga nubifera. Its description in RNAcentral is "partial 16S large subunit ribosomal RNA". The record is from RNAcentral. Lineage: Eukaryota; Metazoa; Arthropoda; Insecta; Lepidoptera; Noctuidae.